This 486-nucleotide ribosomal RNA is filed under the name uncultured bacterium. RNAcentral describes it as "partial 16S ribosomal RNA". It matches the Rfam family "Bacterial small subunit ribosomal RNA", at positions 28 to 507 of the family's 1533-position model. The record is from RNAcentral.
GACGAACGCUGGCGGCGUGCUUAACACAUGCGAGUCGAACGCUGAAGACCUGGCUUUUGUUGGGUUGGAUGAGUGGCGCACGGGUGAGUAACACGUGAGUAACCUGCCCUCUUCUUUGGGAUAACGCCCGGAAACGGGUGCUAAUACUGGAUAUUCACUGGCCUUCGCAUGGGGGUUGGUGGAAAGGUUUGUUCUGGUGGGGGAUGGGCUCGCGGCCUAUCAGCUUGUUGGUGGGGUGAUGGCCUACCAAGGCUUUGACGGGUAGCCGGCCUGAGAGGGUGACCGGUCACAUUGGGACUGAGAUACGGCCCAGACUCCUACGGGAGGCAGCAGUGGGGAAUAUUGCACAAUGGGCGAAAGCCUGAUGCAGCGACGCCGCGUGAGGGAUGGAGGCCUUCGGGGUGUAAACCUCUUUCGCUCAUGGUCAAGCCGCAACUGUGGGUUGUGGUGAGGGUAGUGGGUAAAGAAGCGCCGGCUAACUACGUG